AACAGCCCCCUGUUGAUUUGAUCCUCGUCUGUCUUGAGGCUGAAUUACCCUUGGCUGGUGCUGCAGGAGGUUAGAGGAUUACAGAAUAAAAGAUUGAAGUGUGGAUUCCUAAAGAAGGAAGAGGACUGAAGAAGUUCAGAUGCAGAUUCCACAGGGCUGUCGCAGUUCAUAGCUCAAAGAAAAACCUGAGGCUAUAAAAUCAAACAUGAUUGCUGCCAAAAUUUUGCCUUCCUGCACCUUUGUAAGAACCAGAAUGGAGCAGCCAGCUGUUGUUCCUCUAAGCCAAAGAUGUGGGCAGCCGAAAAAACUCCCAGCAAGAGCACGGGGAUCGGCAUGCUGCCAACGUCUGCCUCGUCAUUGUAAACAUACAAAGCCCCAAAAAGAAACUGAGCAAAUAUUUCCUAAG
Molecule: long non-coding RNA, 406 nt
Organism: Calidris pugnax (ruff)
Lineage: Eukaryota; Metazoa; Chordata; Aves; Charadriiformes; Scolopacidae
Exons: 4
Source: RefSeq, a predicted model, not a curated record